This 495-nucleotide ribosomal RNA is filed under the name uncultured bacterium. Its description in RNAcentral is "partial 16S ribosomal RNA". It matches the Rfam family "Bacterial small subunit ribosomal RNA", at positions 28 to 507 of the family's 1533-position model. The record is from RNAcentral.
GACGAACGCUGGCGGCGUGCCUAAUACAUGCAAGUAGAACGCUGAAGGAGGAGCUUGCUUCUCUGGAUGAGUUGCGAACGGGUGAGUAACGCGUAGGUAACCUGCCUGGUAGCGGGGGAUAACUAUUGGAAACGAUAGCUAAUACCGCAUAAGAGUAGAUGUUGCAUGACAUUUACUUAAAAGGUGCAAUUGCAUCACUACCAGAUGGACCUGCGUUGUAUUAGCUAGUUGGUGAGGUAACGGCUCACCAAGGCAACGAUACAUAGCCGACCUGAGAGGGUGAUCGGCCAAACUGGGACUGAGAAACGGCCCAGACUCCUACGGGAAGCAGCAGUAGGGGAUCUUCGGCAAUGGACGGAAGUCUGACCGAGCAACGCCGCGUGAGGGAAGAAGGGUUUCGGAUCGUAAAGCUCUGUUGUAAGAGAAGAACGAGUGUGAGAGUGGAAAGUUCACACUGUGACGGUAUCUUACCAGAAAGGGACGGCUAACUACGUG